AUACGUAGGGUGCGAGCGUUAUCCGGAAUUACUGGGCGUAAAGAGCUCGUAGGUGGUUUGUCGCGUCGGCUGUGAAAUUCCGGGGCUUAACUCCGGGCGUGCAGGCGAUACGGGCAUAACAUGAUUACUGUAGGGGAGACUGGAAUUCCUGGGGUAGCGGUGAAAUGCGCAGAUAUCAGGAGGAACACCGGUGGCGAAGGCGGGUCUCUGGGCAAAAACUGACGCUGAGGCGCGAAAGCAUGGGUAGCGAACAGGAUUAGAUACCCUGGUAGUCCAUGCCGUAAACGGUGGGCGCUAGGUGUAGGGGUAUUCCACGACUUCUGUGCCGUAGCUAACGCAUUAAGCGCGCCGCCUGGGGAGUACGGCCGCAAGGCUAAAACUCAAAGGAAUGGACGGGG
RNAcentral lists this ribosomal RNA (398 nucleotides) under uncultured bacterium. RNAcentral's name for it is "partial 16S ribosomal RNA". It matches the Rfam family "Bacterial small subunit ribosomal RNA", at positions 523 to 918 of the family's 1533-position model. The record is from RNAcentral.